AUAAGAUUCACUUUGUAACUCAUAUUUGAUUUUUGAAGAAUAAAAGGACAACCACAAGCCCGAAGGGAUUAAUCUUCUGAAUACAAAGAGAUACCAUGGUAAUACAAAAAAUAAUGGCAUAAAUCCAUUAUUUGAGAACAAGAAGGUCAUCAAAUGAACCCAACUGCUUGACUUGAGAAAUAAACGUAUUGAAAUACAUAUUUAAAGACCUUUCUGAACCAUUUCACAGCAUGCUAUUUGACUCGAUUAACUGAUAUUAUAAGACAAUCUUAAUUCUUAACUCAUGAACACAUUGCACACAGUUGCAUUCAGAUAAUCCAAAGAAAUUAAAAGGAAAAGCUAAAUAAUAACAUCAUUAUAGGGAUAAUGAAAUAUCAUUUCAGAUGAGAACUUGAGAUACUAG
RNAcentral lists this unclassified non-coding RNA (403 nucleotides) under Hevea brasiliensis (rubber tree). The record is from RNAcentral. Lineage: Eukaryota; Viridiplantae; Streptophyta; Magnoliopsida; Malpighiales; Euphorbiaceae.